AGCUUUGCGCAGUGGCAGUAUCGUAGCCAAUGAGGUUUAUCCGAGGCGCGAUUAUUGCUAAUUGAAAAAUACACAUUAUAUAGAAAACAGAGUGGUGAAAAACUGUGUAACUAUAAAUAUAUGUAGUGUCAAAAGACA
Lontra canadensis (Northern American river otter) is the source of this 138-nucleotide small nuclear RNA. RefSeq annotates it as U4 spliceosomal RNA. NCBI's taxonomy places the organism in Eukaryota, Metazoa, Chordata, Mammalia, Carnivora, Mustelidae. The record is from RefSeq and is a predicted model, not a curated record. The transcript has a single exon.